Molecule: unclassified non-coding RNA, 331 nt
Filed under: soil metagenome
Description: partial contains 5.8S ribosomal RNA, internal transcribed spacer 2, and large subunit ribosomal RNA
Rfam family: 5.8S ribosomal RNA (bases 1-120)
Source: RNAcentral
GAUGAAGAACGCAGCGAAAUGCGAUACGUAAUGUGAAUUGCAGAUUUCAGUGAAUCAUCGAAUCUUUGAACGCACAUUGCGCCCGCUAGUAUUCUGGCGGGCAUGCCUGUUCGAGCGUCAUUUCAACCAUCAAGCCCUAGGCUUGCGUUGGAGCCCUGCGGCUGCCGCAGGCUCCCAAAUCCAGUGGCGGGCUCGUCGUCGUACCGAGUGCAGUAAACAUCCUCGCUCAGGGAACGUGACGGGUUCUUGCCGUGAAACCCCCCACAUAUCAAGGUUGACCUCGGAUCAGGUAGGAAUACCCGCUGAACUUAAGCAUAUCAAAAGCGGAGGA